This 497-nucleotide ribosomal RNA is filed under the name uncultured bacterium. Its description in RNAcentral is "partial 16S ribosomal RNA". It matches the Rfam family "Bacterial small subunit ribosomal RNA", at positions 28 to 507 of the family's 1533-position model. The record is from RNAcentral.
GAUGAACGCUGGCGGCGUGCCUAAUACAUGCAAGUCGAGCGAACAGACGAGGAGCUUGCUCCUCUGACGUUAGCGGCGGACGGGUGAGUAACACGUGGAUAACCUACCUAUAAGACUGGGAUAACUUCGGGAAACCGGAGCUAAUACCGGAUAAUAUAUUGAACCGCAUGGUUCAAUAGUGAAAGACGGUUUUGCUGUCACUUAUAGAUGGAUCCGCGCCGCAUUAGCUAGUUGGUAAGGUAACGGCUUACCAAGGCAACGAUGCGUAGCCGACCUGAGAGGGUGAUCGGCCACACUGGAACUGAGACACGGUCCAGACUCCUACGGGAGGCAGCAGUAGGGAAUCUUCCGCAAUGGGCGAAAGCUUGACGGAGCAACGCCGCGUGAGUGAUGAAGGUCUUCGGAUCGUAAAACUCUGUUAUUAGGGAAGAACAAAUGUGCAAGUAACUAUGCACGUCUUGACGGUACCUAAUCAGAAAGCCACGGCUAACUACGUG